CCUACGGGUGGCAGCAGUCGAGAAUCAUUCACAAUGGGGGAAACCCUGAUGGUGCGACGCCGCGUGGGGGAAUGAAGGUCUUCGGAUUGUAAACCCCUGUCAUGUGGGAGCAAAUUAAAAAGAUAGUACCACAAGAGGAAGAGACGGCUAACUCUGUGCCAGCAGCCGCGGUAAUACAGAGGUCUCAAGCGUUGUUCGGAAUCACUGGGCGUAAAGCGUGCGUAGGCUGUUUCGUAAGUCGUGUGUGAAAGGCGCGGGCUCAACCCGCGGACGGCACAUGAUACUGCGAGACUAGAGUAAGGGAGGGGGAACCGGAAUGCUCGGUGUAGCAGUGAAAUGCGUAGAUAUCGAGAGGAACACUCGUGGCGAAGGCGGGUUCCUGGACAGUAACUGACGCUGAGGCACGAAGGCCAGGGGAGCGAAAGGGAUUAGAUACCCGUGUAGUC
RNAcentral lists this ribosomal RNA (446 nucleotides) under uncultured bacterium. RNAcentral's name for it is "partial 16S ribosomal RNA". It matches the Rfam family "Bacterial small subunit ribosomal RNA", at positions 338 to 795 of the family's 1533-position model. The record is from RNAcentral.